This 294-nucleotide unclassified non-coding RNA is filed under the name Hevea brasiliensis (rubber tree). The record is from RNAcentral. Lineage: Eukaryota; Viridiplantae; Streptophyta; Magnoliopsida; Malpighiales; Euphorbiaceae.
AAAGAGGGCAACUCAUGCAUGCCACAAUCGACUCUCUCUUCACCAAUUGAUUCUUCAUAUUUUCUUCUCAAUCAAAAACUGAAUUCAACCUUAACGUUGCAUGCUACCAAAGAAAUUCAACACAUUCGGGUCUCCCAAAAUCACCUACAUUUCUGAAUUCGACCCGGAAACACAAGUAAACAACCCGGAAUUAUCCAAAAUGGGUCUUAUAAAUUUGAAAUUGAGCAAAUGGGUCGGGUUGAUUUGGGAAAAGGUAAAAUGGGUCAGCGAUGAAUUUGGUAGGGUGGGUGUAGA